Molecule: ribosomal RNA, 351 nt
Filed under: uncultured microorganism
Description: bacterial SSU rRNA
Rfam family: Bacterial small subunit ribosomal RNA
Source: RNAcentral
GUAGUUUGAUCGUGGCUCAGAUUGAACGCUGGCGGCAGGCCUAACACAUGCAAGUCGAGCGGAUGAAGGGAGCUUGCUCCUGGAUUCAGCGGCGGACGGGUGAGUAAUGCCUAGGAAUCUGCCUGGUAGUGGGGGAUAACGUCCGGAAACGGGCGCUAACACCGCAUACGUCCUGAGGGAGAAAGUGGGGGAUCUUCGGACCUCACGCUAUCAGAUGAGCCUAGGUCGGAUUAGCUAGUUGGUGGGGUAAAGGCUACCAAGGCGACGAUCCGUAACUGGUCUGAGAGGAUGAUCAGUCACACUGGAACUGAGACACGGUCCAGACUCCUACGGGAGGCAGCAGUGGGGAAU